RNAcentral lists this ribosomal RNA (484 nucleotides) under uncultured bacterium. RNAcentral describes it as "partial 16S ribosomal RNA". It matches the Rfam family "Bacterial small subunit ribosomal RNA", at positions 30 to 507 of the family's 1533-position model. The record is from RNAcentral.
AUUGAACGCUGGCGGCAGGCCUAACACAUGCAAGUCGAGCGGAUGAAGGGAGCUUGCUCGUGGAUUCAGCGGCGGACGGGUGGGUAAUGCCUAGGAAUCUGCCUGGUUGUGGGUUAUAACGUCCGGAAACGGGCGCUAAUACCGCAUACGUGCUGAGGAAGAAAGUGGGGGAUCUUCGGACCUCACGCUAUCAGGUGAUCCUAGGUCGGGUUGUCUAGUUUGUGGGGUAAAGGCCUACCCAGGCGACGAUCCGUAACUGGUCUGAGAGGAUGAUCAGUCCACCUGGAACUGAGAAAACGUCCCGACUCCUAAGGGAGGGAGCAGUUGGGAAUAUUUGACAAUGGGGGGAAGCCUUAUCCAGGCAUGACGGGGGUGUGAAGAAGGUCUUCCGAUUGGAAAGCCCUUUUAGUUGGGAGGAAGGGCAGUAAGUUAAUACCUUGCUGUUUUGAAGGUAACAAAAGAAUAAGCCACGGCUAACUUCGUG